Molecule: ribosomal RNA, 472 nt
Filed under: uncultured bacterium
Lineage: Bacteria
Description: partial 16S ribosomal RNA
Rfam family: Bacterial small subunit ribosomal RNA
Source: RNAcentral
GACGAACGCUGGCGGCGUGCUUAACACAUGCAAGUCGAACGCUGAAGCUUGGUGCUUGCACUGGGUGGAUGAGUGGCGAACGGGUGAGUAAUACGUGAGUAACCUGCCCUUGACUCUGGGAUAAGCCUGGGAAACUGGGUCUAAUACUGGAUACGACAUGUCACCGCAUGGUGGUGUGUGGAAAGGGUUUUACUGGUUUUGGAUUGGCUCACGGCCUAUCAGCUUGUUGGUGGGGUAAUGGCUCACCAAGGCGACGACGGGUAGCCGGCCUGAGAGGGUGACCGGCCACACUGGGACUGAGACACGGCCCAGACUCCUACGGGAGGCAGCAGUGGGGAAUAUUGCACAAUGGGCGAAAGCCUGAUGCAGCGACGCCGCGUGAGGGAUGACGGCCUUCGGGUUGUAAACCUCUUUCAGCACGGAAGAAGCGAAAGUGACGGUACGUGCAGAAGAAGCGCCGGCUAACUACGUG